RNAcentral lists this ribosomal RNA (555 nucleotides) under uncultured bacterium. Its description in RNAcentral is "bacterial SSU rRNA". It matches the Rfam family "Bacterial small subunit ribosomal RNA", at positions 857 to 1412 of the family's 1533-position model. The record is from RNAcentral.
GCAUUAAGUACUCCGCCUGGGAAGUACGGCCGCAAGGCUGAAACUCAAAGGAAUUGACGGGGGCCCGCACAAGCGGUGGAGCAUGUGGUUUAAUUCGAUGCAACGCGAGGAACCUUACCGGGGCUUAAACUUGUAGGAAAAGCUGGGGAAACCCAGUGUGCCUUCGGGCGUCUAUGAGAGGUGCUGCAUGGCUGUCGUCAGCUCGUGUCGUGAGAUGUUGGGUUAAGUCCCGCAACGAGCGCAACCCUUGUUGCUAGUUACCAGCGGAUAAUGCCGGGGACUCUAGCAAGACUGCCCACGCAAGUGGGAGGAAGGUGGGGAUGACGUCAAGUCCUCAUGGCCCUUACGUCCCGGGCUACACACGUGCUACAAUGGCCGGUACAAAGUGUCGCGAGACCGCGAGGUGGAGCUAAUCACAAAAAGCCGGCCCCAGUUCGGAUUGCAGUCUGCAACUCGACUGCAUGAAGGCGGAAUCGCUAGUAAUCCCGUAUCAGCAAUGACGGGGUGAAUCCGUUCCCGGGCCUUGUACACACCGCCCGUCACACCACGGAAGUU